AUUGCUCCUGAUAUGUGCUGAAUUAACAGCCUGGAGACUGAAGCCAUUUAAUUUGGGUGGAUUUCAAGCUUCCAACACAGAGCAUGAUUGUUUCCAUUUUUUUGGGAAGGGAUGCUCUCUCUUUGUCCCUUGUACAGUCCCAGGCUUGCUGAUGAUGCUCAAUGAACAAACAUAAAUAACAAUAAAGUCUAAUGGGAUCUGUGCAGCUGUCUUGGACAGGGCUUGGGAGAUGAGACCACCCCGUGCAGGAUCCCAGUGCUGCUGCACCUCUCCUGGCUGCUCAUCCUGCACAUUCUGCCCAUGGACCAGAGCAGCUGCUGGCCAAUGCCUGCUUCUAUCAGCACUCUGUAGCCUGCUCCCUUUUUCUUUUCUCUGAGGGAUUUAGGAAUCCACAUCUUAAAGGAGGGGUUGCUUUCGGCCUGCUGCUAAAAUCAAUUUUUAACUGUCCCUUCUAGAUUCUACAUUCUGUCCCUUAUUCUACACCUGAAGCUGGAUGUUUUUUGCUCACAGAGCUGCCACCACAGGAGAGUACUUACACAAGACAGAGAAGUGGGCUUGUGAACAACCAAGUGGAAUAAAAUUGUCACUGUGUUGCUGGCAGACUUUGAAGUUAAAGUGCCAUGACAAAUUUUUUCCCUGUUUUUCUUCAAAUAAGAUUUUUUUAAAAAAGUGUGUUAAGGCAUAAGUCUAGUUGAAAAUGAUUAUUUUUGUCAGAAACAUGCUGGAAAAAUAGAAAAUUAGAGACUGAUGAGUCACAUGAUUCUUAGGUACAGACCCAGAGUAUGAAGUUGGGAAUGGACUUUUGCCAUUGCAGCUAAGAUGUCCUUCGAAUUUUUUUAAGUGUUUCAUUUGGCACACUGAAGUAAAACUAAUAGAGGAAAACAAUUUUUUCCAAGUCCACUGUAUACAUAGUUUGGAGAUAGUAAUCUACAAAUAUUUCCAGUAAGAACUUCAGUUGUGUUGCUUUAGGCCUCAUAAAAAGUGAGGAUUUUAUCGCAUUUUCCAGCUAUCUGUUCUCCAGUGGACCUUAAAUGCAAAGACUGGAAAAAAAACCACCUCUCUCAAAAAGUUAUUUGUUGCCAUUGAGGCACUGAGUGUUAAUAAAUUUAAACAAACAUUCUUUGUACA
This 1128-nucleotide long non-coding RNA is filed under the name Cyanistes caeruleus (blue tit). Its description in RNAcentral is "lncRNA (ENSCCEG00000011567.1)". The record is from RNAcentral. Lineage: Eukaryota; Metazoa; Chordata; Aves; Passeriformes; Paridae.